Non-coding RNA from Salmo salar (Atlantic salmon), 545 nucleotides. Lineage: Eukaryota; Metazoa; Chordata; Actinopteri; Salmoniformes; Salmonidae. The record is from the annotation of a RefSeq genome assembly.
UAACACUUCCUGACUGAGAUUUGUCCUUCAUGACAACAGAACCCACAACAACCAUGACUUUUAUCACCAUCUUCAUCUGGAUAUUUGCAUUCUACAUCAAAGAAUCCAGUGGACAGAUCACUGUGUCUCAGACUCCUACAGUUAAAACUGUUCUCCCAGAACAGACAGUCUCUCUGAACUGUAAAACCAGCAGUAAUGUCUAUCCUGACUGUGGUAGGUCAGGUAAACCAUGUUUAGCCUGGUACCAGCAGAAACCUGGAGGAGCUCCUAAAGUCCUUAUUUACCGUGCUACAACACUUCAGUCUGGGACUCCAUCUAGAUUCAGUGGCAGUGGAUCUGGGAGUGACUUCACUCUGACCAUCAGUGGAGUCCAGGCUGAAGAUGCAGGAGAUUACUACUGUCAGAGUCUCCACAGUGGUCCAGUGUUAACACAGUGAUACAGAGCCGUACAAAAACCUCCCUCAGUCAGACUGCACAGUGACUGUACUGCUACAGCUGGGACCUACUGCAGGUGCUGAGGGGGAAGAGACAGUAACAUGGAACAC